This 403-nucleotide ribosomal RNA is filed under the name uncultured bacterium. RNAcentral's name for it is "bacterial SSU rRNA". It matches the Rfam family "Bacterial small subunit ribosomal RNA", at positions 356 to 773 of the family's 1533-position model. The record is from RNAcentral.
GGGGGAUAUUGCGCAAUGGGGGAAACCCUGACGCAGCAACGCCGCGUGAAGGAAGAAGGUCUUCGGAUUGUAAACUUUUGUCUUAUGGGACGAAACAAAUGACGGUACCAUAGGAGGAAGCCACGGCUAACUACGUGCCAGCAGCCGCGGUAAUACGUAGGUGGCGAGCGUUGUCCGGAAUUACUGGGUGUAAAGGGCGUGUAGGCGGAAAUUUAAGUCAGAUGUGAAAUUCCCGGGCUCAACUCGGGCGCUGCAUUUGAAACUGAGUUUCUUGAGUGAUGGAGAGGAAAGCGGAAUUCCUAGUGUAGCGGUGAAAUGCGUAGAUAUUAGGAGGAACACCAGUGGCGAAGGCGGCUUUCUGGACAUUAACUGACGCUGAGGCGCGAAAGCGUGGGGAGCAAAC